GAUGAACGCUAGCGGCAGGCUUAAUACAUGCAAGUCGAGGGGCAGCAUGGGUGUAGCAAUACAUCUGAUGGCGACCGGCAAACGGGUGCGGAACACGUACAGAACCUUCCUUCGAGCGGGGAAUAGCCCAGAGAAAUUUGGAUUAAUACCCCAUAGUAUAUUGAAGAGGCAUCUCUUUAAUAUUAAAGAUUUAUCACUUGAAGAUGGCUGUGCGGCUGAUUAGAUAGUUGGCGGGGUAACGGCCCACCAAGUCUACGAUCAGUAACUGGUGUGAGAGCACGACCAGUCACACGGGCACUGAGACACGGGCCCGACUCCUACGGGAGGCAGCAGUAAGGAAUAUUGGGCAAUGGAGGCAACUCUGACCCAGCCCAUGCCGCGNGGAGGAUGAAGGCCCUCUGGGUUGUAAAGCUCUUUCAGCGGGGAAGAUAAUGACGGUACCCGCAGAAGAAGCCCCGGCUAACUUCGUGCCAG
Molecule: ribosomal RNA, 474 nt
Filed under: uncultured bacterium
Lineage: Bacteria
Description: bacterial SSU rRNA
Rfam family: Bacterial small subunit ribosomal RNA
Source: RNAcentral